UACGUAGGGUGCAAGCGUUGUCCGGAAUUAUUGGGCGUAAAGAGCUCGUAGGCGGUCUGUUGCGUCGGCUGUGAAAACCCGGGGCUCAACCCCGGGCCUGCAGCUGAUACGGGCAGACUAGAGUUCGGCAGGGGAGACUGGAAUUCCUGGUGUAGCGGUGAAAUGCGCAGAGAUCGGGAGGAACACCCGUAGCGAAGGCGGCAUUCUGGGCCGGUACUGACGCUGAGGAGCGAAAGCGUGGGGAGCAAACAGG
Molecule: ribosomal RNA, 253 nt
Filed under: uncultured bacterium
Lineage: Bacteria
Description: partial 16S ribosomal RNA
Rfam family: Bacterial small subunit ribosomal RNA
Source: RNAcentral